AUUGAACGCUGGCGGCAGGCCUAACACAUGCAAGUCGAACGGUAACAGGAAGAAGCUUGCUUCUUUGCUGACGAGUGGCGGACGGGUGAGUAAUGUCUGGGAAACUGCCUGAUGGAGGGGGAUAACUACUGGAAACGGUAGCUAAUACCGCAUAACGUCGCAAGACCAAAGAGGGGGACCUUCGGGCCUCUUGCCAUCGGAUGUGCCCAGAUGGGAUUAGCUAGUAGGUGGGGUAACGGCUAACCUAGGCGACGGUCCCUAGCUGGUCUGAGAGGAUGACCAGCCACACUGGAACUGAGACACGGUCCAGACUCCUACGGGAGGCAGCAGUGGGGAAUAUUGCACAAUGGGCGCAAGCCUGAUGCAGCCAUGCCGCGUGUAUGAAGAAGGCCUUCGGGUUGUAAAGUACUUUCAGCGGGGAGGAAGGGAGUAAAGUUAAUACCUUUGCUCAUUGACGUUACCCGCAGAAGAAGCACCGGCUAACUCCGUGCCAGCCGCCGCAGUAA
This 506-nucleotide ribosomal RNA is filed under the name uncultured bacterium. RNAcentral describes it as "partial 16S ribosomal RNA". It matches the Rfam family "Bacterial small subunit ribosomal RNA", at positions 30 to 523 of the family's 1533-position model. The record is from RNAcentral.